CACGUUGAAACACCGGUUCUCGUACGAUCACCAAAGUUAAGCAACGUCGAGCAUGGUCAGUACCCAGAUGGGUGACCACUUGCGAAAACCAGGCAC
This 96-nucleotide ribosomal RNA is filed under the name Acanthosepion pharaonis. Lineage: Eukaryota; Metazoa; Mollusca; Cephalopoda; Sepiida; Sepiidae. The record is from RNAcentral.